RNAcentral lists this transfer RNA (71 nucleotides) under Pteridomonas sp. YPF1301. Its description in RNAcentral is "tRNA-Gly". It matches the Rfam family "tRNA". From Rfam's summary of the family: Transfer RNA (tRNA) molecules are approximately 80 nucleotides in length. Their secondary structure includes four short double-helical elements and three loops (D, anti-codon, and T loops). The record is from RNAcentral. Lineage: Eukaryota; Dictyochophyceae; Pedinellales.
GUAUAUAUAAUUUAAUGGUAAAAUUUAAAUUUUCCAAAUUUACUUUAGGGGUUCGAUUCCCCUUAUAUACU